Molecule: long non-coding RNA, 1268 nt
Organism: Thamnophis elegans (Western terrestrial garter snake)
Lineage: Eukaryota; Metazoa; Chordata; Lepidosauria; Squamata; Natricidae
Exons: 3
Source: RefSeq, a predicted model, not a curated record
AAGUUGCCAAGGUUGCUUUGCUGGCUGUGGAAUUCUGGGAGUUGAAGUCCACAAGCCUUAAUGCUGCAAACUUCACAUUGAAACCUGCUUUAAACUGAAAAACUCAAAAGAUUUGCAAAGUGGCAUUCAGUGGUUUGUUUCUGGGUCAACUGAACAACAAACUGGAUAAAAGUGCAGAUGUUUAAGGUGGCUGAAAAUUUCAUAUCUCAUACCCCACCAGUUCUGUUGCUAGGCCGGAACAAUGAUAACUUCAGAGGAAAGUCCUGGAAGCUGUCACCUUCACAAUGGAUGUACCAGGAAUGGAAUCCCCCUUUUGAGAACCAUGUAAUUGUCUCCUGGCUUCCAGGAAUAAAAAAUGCUAAAGGGGGAAAGUUCCUUGAAGAUCAUCUGAUGUAUGCACUGUGGAGAAAGCCUCUACUUUAGCCUUCUCAGAAACUGCUGAAAACUUGUCCAGAAAAGAGUUCAGCCCUCUUGAAACAGUUUUUUUUCCCUAUUCCUGAACAGCUCUUACUGUUAGGAAUUUUGUCCUGGUACCCUAUUGAAUAUAUAUUUGUGUGUAAGUCCACUGUUUCUUAUCUUGUUCUCUGGAGCAAUUUUGAACAAUUCUGCUCUAUCUUUUACACAACAGCCCUUCAUAUACUCAUAUCUCCCUGCAGUUUCUUCAAAUUGAACCAAUCCAACAUUUCUAAGCAUUCCUAAGUUUUAUUUCCACCCCUCCCUCCCUUAUCUCCAUUGUGUACAUUCUUCAGUUUACCACUCUCUUUCUUAAAAUUUGGUAUCAAAAGAGCACAUAAUAUUCUUCCGACCCAGAUACUGUACUUCUGUUGUUGCUGCUUAGAAUUUUAUUUCUAUUUUUUGUAGUUACAUCAGACUGUGGGCUAACAUUCAGUUUGUGAUGCACCAAGGAAAUUUAGUUUUUUUUUGCAUGUCCUGUUGUCUUAUAUCCUAUUCUUAUUACCUUAUAUUAAUUCCUUUUUUUCCCUCCCCAAAUGUAGGACUCUAUAAAUGUCCAGAUUCAUCUUCGGAAAUUUUCCCAAUGUUACAGUUUUCCAGUUCCUAAAUCAUCACUUUGUCCUUUAAUGUGUUUGCUAUCCUCACCCAUCUUUGUUUCUUUGCGUAUUUGGUAAUAAUAUUUUCUAACCUCUCUAUUGUUAUUAAUCUGGUGAACAAUGUAACACACAAUACCAGGCUUUAUUUUAGCUUGAUAUGGAGCCAUCAACGUAUCUCUGAGUGAGGGAGGUGGGCAGUUAAGAAAUAUGAAAUAUAGA